This is a small nuclear RNA of Homo sapiens (human), 104 nucleotides long. The record is from Ensembl. NCBI's taxonomy places the organism in Eukaryota, Metazoa, Chordata, Mammalia, Primates, Hominidae.
AUGCUCAUUUCAGCAGCACAUAUACUAAAACUGGAAUGAUACAGAGAUUAGCACGGUCCCUGCACAAGGAUGACAUGAAAAUUUGUGAAGUGUUCCAUAUUAAA